CUCUUCGGGGAUGAUUAAACCGGCGCACGGGUGAGUAACACGUGAGUGACCUGCCUUUUAGACUGGAACAACUUACCGAAAGGUGAGCUAAUGCCGGAUGAGUUAUAUAAGUGCAUGUUUAUAUAGGAAAAGUUGGGGAGACCUGACGCUGAAAGAUGGACUCGCGUCCCAUUAGCUAGUUGGUAGGGUAAUGGCCUACCAAGGCGACGAUGGGUAGCCGGCCUGAGAGGGUGGCCGGCCACACUGGGACUGAGACACGGCCCAGACUCCUACGGGAGGCAGCAGUGGGGAAUUUUGCGCAAUGCUCGUAAGAGUGACGCAGCGACGCCGCGUGAAUGACGAAGGCCUUCGGGUCGUAAAGUUCUUUCGACAGGGAAGAAAAUGCCUAUAAGUAACUGUGUAUGUAUUGACGGUACCUGUAUAAGCAGCCCCGGCUAACUCCGUGCCAGCAGCCGCGGUAAUACGGAGGGGGCGAGCGUUGUUCGGAGUGACUGGGCGUAAAGAGCACGUAGGCGGUGUUGUAAGUCAUUAGUCAAAGACUAGAGCUCAACUUUAGUAAGGCUAGUGAUACUAUAAUACUAGAGUAUCAGAGAGGAUUGCAGAAUUCCUGGUGUAGCGGUGAAAUGCGUAGAUAUCAGGAGGAAUACCGUUAGCGAAGGCGGCAAUCUGGCUGGAAACUGACGCUGAGGUGCGAAAGCGUGGGUA
RNAcentral lists this ribosomal RNA (705 nucleotides) under uncultured bacterium. RNAcentral describes it as "bacterial SSU rRNA". It matches the Rfam family "Bacterial small subunit ribosomal RNA", at positions 76 to 767 of the family's 1533-position model. The record is from RNAcentral.